Molecule: ribosomal RNA, 253 nt
Filed under: uncultured bacterium
Lineage: Bacteria
Description: partial 16S ribosomal RNA
Rfam family: Bacterial small subunit ribosomal RNA
Source: RNAcentral
UACGUAGGGGGCAGGCGUUGUCCGGAUUUAUUGGGUUUAAAGGGUGCGUAGGCGGCCUUGUAAGUCAGUGCUGAAAUAUCCCGGCUUAACCGGGAGGGUGGCAUUGAUACUGCAGGGCUUGAGUAAAGUUGAGGUUGGCGGAAUUGACGGUGUAGCGGUGAAAUGCUUAGAUAUCGUCAAGAACACCGAUAGUGAAGACAGCUAACUAAGCUUUAACUGACGCUGAGGCACGAAAGUGUGGGGAUCAAACAGG